GCUGCCGCCCCUGGCCUGCCAGGACCCAGAGGGAGCGGAGCACGCGCCUUUGGGAAUCUUCGGUGCGCCAAGUCUGUUCGCCGCCGGGGUCUAUCACCCCCGCCCCUCGCCUCUGCCCGUGAGCGUCUGGCUUGGCUUUUUCAGAGGAAACAGAGACUCUCAGACAUGAAUACUGUGACACUGACCACCAGGCCAACUUAACAUCAGCAGAUAUCCUGUCUCAGAUGAAGAGAAUGGCCUGUCCAGAAGACAGCCAAAUACAUCCUUCAAACAGACUUCACUGCAGGAGACAGAGUGGAUUCAUCCUGUAUUCUCCAUGUAGACUUCCAUCUUCAUGAGUACUCCAAGAAGAUGGUUCAGUUGACUAUUGCAAAGAUUGGUUUAGAGUAUAUAUUUCACCAAGUUCUGGCCAGCAGGAUCUGAAAAGAUGUCAGUUGGCACUUCUGCAAAAUGUGUGUGCAAGAGAUGUGUGCAAGGAAAACCUUAAACAUCUUUCCUGCUUUGGCUUUGCAUGUGAAAGAAAAUAUGAUGCUUGGAUGUCUGAUUCCAAAAUGGCGGCAUGGAAGCAAGCUGGCUUCAUGCCCCCCAACCACAGACAACCAGAAACAAAUGUACAGCACUGAGAUUAUCACCAGCAAUAUCCCAGAAAUCAAAUAUGAAGAUGAGACAGUUCCUGGGGCCACAAAGAAGUGAAAAAACUCCAAGCAGACGGGAAGAUAAUCAAACUUCCACAUCCAUGUCACCUCUCCCCCGAUUCUGCCUGACACCAAGCUUGUGGAAAAUUUCCCCCAAACUCACAAUUUGUACACUGGAAAAAGUGAGAUCAAGGUGGACAAUCAGCUUCCCCAUCAUCCUGGGUUCCCUAGCAGGAAACCUGUCUUUGUCUUAACCCACAGUAAGCAUCGUGACAUCCUGAAGGGAGAUAUCCCUGGGGACAGGCAGAGACAAGGAAGAGGCAGAUUUAGCAUCCCCAGCCCUGGGAAGUCUGCUCUGUCACUUGGCCAAAGGAGAUGCCAAAUCAGAGUGGCUGUUCUAUGGCUGUAGGAGGUCUGUCCCACAAGGUCCCCUGGGCACAACCCCCUAGUCAGUUUUCCCACACUGCUGGGGCUAACCUCUUUGGGACCUCCCCCAUUCCGGAAAGGCAGUACUCUUAUUGUUGACUAGAAAGGAGAUGAACCUGGGCUUAAGGUGCUGCCUAGAGCCAAAAAGGAGGCAGUGACCUAGUGAUAUGGUGCUUGGAGCAGUAACAUACCUUAGCACAAAAAGAUCACAACGAUAGUGGAAAAAACUGAUCCCAAGUUCUGACAUAGUUGAGCUGAAGAACCAACCCCUAAUCAUCUACCUCAAGACAUUAUGUAAGAGAAAAAUGCAUCCUAUUAUUUAAAUCUUUUGUAGGCACAUAUUCUAUAACUUGUAAACAAGACAUCCUAUACCUCAUCAUUUCACAAACUUACCCCAAAAUCCCCCUGGAGUGGUGGCAAGAAAAUCCCAUUGAAGGCACACUGGGAGUAAGGGCAGUAACUGGUGUUGAAGAGCUCCAGGAUGCUUUGAUGGCAUUGUUGAUAGUUUCCAAUACCCUGGAUUUCAAACUGCUGGAAUGGAAGAGUCAUCUCAAAUCUCUUGGUGCAGGGGGUCUUGUAAAGGUCACUUACGUUCACUACCUUCUUAUAUCCAGGAUGAAAGCAUGGGUCCCUGAGAAUUUCAUUACUUGCAACCUGAAUGGAAAAAUCACUUGAAAGCAUCAUGUGUGAACGCUUUGGAUACAAAAGGUACAGUCUGACUUAAUCAAUAUGUAGGCACUGUACAACAUCCCACCACUUGGUAUUGGAAUCAAUAUGUCCUGCCCUGCCUUUUUACCC
Homo sapiens (human) is the source of this 1859-nucleotide long non-coding RNA. Ensembl annotates it as ENTPD1 antisense RNA 1. Its record names the gene ENTPD1-AS1. NCBI's taxonomy places the organism in Eukaryota, Metazoa, Chordata, Mammalia, Primates, Hominidae. The record is from Ensembl.